Molecule: ribosomal RNA, 505 nt
Filed under: uncultured Candida
Lineage: Eukaryota; Fungi; Ascomycota; Saccharomycetes; Saccharomycetales
Description: eukaryotic LSU rRNA
Rfam family: Eukaryotic large subunit ribosomal RNA
Source: RNAcentral
AAACCAACAGGGAUUGCCUUAGUAACGGCGAGUGAAGCGGCAAAAGCUCAAAUUUGAAAUCUGGCACUUUCAGUGUCCGAGUUGUAAUUUGAAGAAGGUAACUCUGGAGUUGGCCCUUGUCUAUGUUCCUUGGAACAGGACGUCACAGAGGGUGAGAAUCCCGUGCGAUGGGGUGUCCAAUUCUAUGUAGAGUGCUUUCGAAGAGUCGAGUUGUUUGGGAAUGCAGCUCUAAGUGGGUGGUAAAUUCCAUCUAAAGCUAAAUAUUGGCGAGAGACCGAUAGCGAACAAGUACAGUGAUGGAAAGAUGAAAAGAACUUUGAAAAGAGCGUGAAAAAGUACGUGAAAUUGUUGAAAGGGAAGGGCUUGAGAUCAGACUCGGUAUUUGCGAUCCUAUCCUUCGUGAGAGGUUUCACUUGCAGCUUACCGGGCCAGCAUCGGUUUGGAUGGUAGGAUAAUGACAUUGGAAUGUGGCUUUUCGGAGUGUUAUAGCCUUUGUUGAUACUGU